This 440-nucleotide ribosomal RNA is filed under the name uncultured bacterium. RNAcentral describes it as "partial 16S ribosomal RNA". It matches the Rfam family "Bacterial small subunit ribosomal RNA", at positions 338 to 795 of the family's 1533-position model. The record is from RNAcentral.
CCUACGGGGUGCAGCAGUGGGGGAUAUUGCACAAUGGGGGGAACCCUGAUGCAGCGACGCCGCGUGGGUGAAGGAGCGUUUCGGCGCGUAAAGCCCUAUCGGCAGGGAAGAAGAUGACGGUACAUGACCAAGAAGCCCCGGCUAACUACGAGCCAGUAGCGGCUGUAAUACGUAGGGGGCAAGCGUUAUCCGGAUUGACUGGGUGUAAAGGGGGCGCAGACGGCAAUGCAAGAGAGGAGUGAAAGCCCGGGGCCCAACCCCGGGACUGCUCUUGGAACUGCAUGGCUGGAGUGCAGGAGGGGCAGGCUGAAUUCCUAGUGUAGCGGUGAAAUGCGUAGAUAUUAGGAGGAACACCGGUGGCGAAGGCGGCCUGCUGGACUGUGACUGACGUUGAGGCCCGAAGGCGUGGGGAGCAAACAGGAUUAGAUACCCGAGUAGUC